Ornithorhynchus anatinus (platypus) is the source of this 713-nucleotide long non-coding RNA. RefSeq lists it as uncharacterized. The record is from RefSeq and is a predicted model, not a curated record. NCBI's taxonomy places the organism in Eukaryota, Metazoa, Chordata, Mammalia, Monotremata, Ornithorhynchidae. The transcript has 4 exons.
AGGAGGAGAGCCUGAGGCUGGGAGCUCAGCGAAGCACUUGCGCCUCAAUCUUUCAAGCCGAGAGACUUUUGCUCACACCGAGCCUCUGCCUCAGCUUCCCAUCCCACCAGCCCCGGGGAGUAGAGCUGAACGAAUCCUUUGUCUCUCCCCUCACUCAUCCAGGCCUGGAAAAAAAACCCACAGAAAAAUGAAAGCAGAGCCAUCUCAGCCCGGUCAAGACCCUACUGGGUCUGCAACCAGAGGGGAGGGACUUCCUAGAGUCAAAUCCAUUUUGGGCGCUCAACAAAACCCCAUUUGAGGCCACCGUCACACAUCUCCCAGAAGAGGGAUCUCACAGGCUCGACUCUGUUGGGAGGAAAAACAGGCGGGAUGGAAACCGGGCCGCUCCAAUCCAGCAGAUGGGCCACUGUCAACUCGCAACGGUGUAGAGAAUCACCAGGAGGCUGCGCUCUGAACGUGACCAGGCCAAACAUCAGACCUUUAGAUCUUCUUUCCCACCAAUUUCUCUGGGAGAAAAGAACACCUAUCGACAAAGAGAACUUGACAACUUCUUCUACAGGGCCUCAGCCCAGACUGAAGUCCGACCCAGUUCCUCUGAGUAUCAAACGCGGGAGAGUGAGACAGGAUGAGGAAGACACUGAAGCCCAAAAUGCCCCCGCAGAAAUCUGCCGCCCACCUCCUCACCGUCCCUCGGUCUCGCCUAUCCCGCCGUC